Molecule: long non-coding RNA, 560 nt
Filed under: Equus caballus (horse)
Lineage: Eukaryota; Metazoa; Chordata; Mammalia; Perissodactyla; Equidae
Description: lncRNA (ENSECAG00000030623.3)
Source: RNAcentral
GGAACAGGUGUGAGGGGUGACAACAUACUCAUUCAGCUUUGGACUCGUGCCUGUGGGGGUCCUGUAGGAGAUCUUGCGGACCUGUGCAGUGGGCCGUCGGAAAGGCAAGCCUGACCCUUUCAAGAGAGGUCAGGCCUGGAGACCAAGGGCACUGAAAGAGAACACAGGGCUGAUUCCUUGACCUUUUGCAGUUCAUAGUCUAGUGAGGAAUACGAAUAAUUACAAAGAGACCACAUCUUGAUGAAAUUAUUACAGCGUAUCACCAGGAAAGACUCUUUUACAGCCCUCAGCACUGUUAUUGCGUGAACUGGCUCAGCAUGGCCGGCCCAGUGAAGGACGCCAGUGGUAGUAACCGGGGAAGAGGGAUCCCCUGGCUCUUCUUACCAAACUUCUUCGAUCGUUUGGAGUGGUUUGGCCAUCAGUUAGUCAGGAAGAGGCCAGAAGGACACGUGCUGAUAAUGCUUCAAGAAAGUUAAACUUUAGGAAAAACUCGACCGAAGUAAAAAUAGCUAUGUAGUCAGUGACCAAAGCUACUUGGAUGGUCCUGUUGAUUGCUCUUG